Molecule: ribosomal RNA, 497 nt
Filed under: uncultured bacterium
Lineage: Bacteria
Description: partial 16S ribosomal RNA
Rfam family: Bacterial small subunit ribosomal RNA
Source: RNAcentral
GAUGAACGCUGGCGGCGUGCCUAAUACAUGCAAGUCGAGCGAACAGACGAGGAGCUUGCUCCUCUGACGUUAGCGGCGGACGGGUGAGUAACACGUGGAUAACCUACCUAUAAGACUGGGAUAACUUCGGGAAACCGGAGCUAAUACCGGAUAACAUGUUGAACCGCAUGGUUCAACAGUGAAAGACGGUCUUGCUGUCACUUAUAGAUGGAUCCGCGCCGCAUUAGCUAGUUGGUAAGGUAACGGCUUACCAAGGCAACGAUGCGUAGCCGACCUGAGAGGGUGAUCGGCCACACGGGAACUGAGACACGGUCCAGACUCCUACGGGAGGCAGCAGUAGGGAAUCUUCCGCAAUGGGCGAAAUCCUGACGGAGCAACGCCGCGUGAGUGAAGAAGGUCUUCGGAUCGUAAAACUCUGUUAUUAGGGAAGAACAAAUGUGUAAGUAACUAUGCACGUCUUGACGGUACCUAAUCAGAAAGCCACGGCUAACUACGUG